UCCUAAACCUGAUAGCAGCGGAAAUCCUUUUUGUUUGCAGCAACCUUGAAUAUGCUGUCAUGCUGAGGCACGAAGCAUCUGCAACCUAUGAAACAGAUGCUUCGUGCCUCAGCAUGACAGACACUACAAAAAGAUUGAAGCGAAUGGCAGGACUGUAC
This 158-nucleotide small RNA is filed under the name Pedobacter alluvionis. RNAcentral describes it as "Flavo-1 RNA". It matches the Rfam family "Flavo-1 RNA". The record is from RNAcentral. Lineage: Bacteria; Pseudomonadati; Bacteroidota; Sphingobacteriia; Sphingobacteriales; Sphingobacteriaceae.